This is an RNA transcript of Oncorhynchus keta (chum salmon), 3756 nucleotides long. It is a transcript of the gene named syntaxin-binding protein 6-like, with no coding region annotated. The transcript is spliced from 7 exons. NCBI's taxonomy places the organism in Eukaryota, Metazoa, Chordata, Actinopteri, Salmoniformes, Salmonidae. The record is from RefSeq and is a predicted model, not a curated record.
GAUUGAAUGCAUUAUCAUGGAUGCAUAGGCCCAUUCAAAGACAAUAUUUAAGAUUUGAUAGCAAGCAAAGUAAGAAAAUAUAGAAGGACAACAACUAUAAAUCCUUCUCAUUCGAAGGAAAACAACUGUAAAUCAUGGCAAACAGACUUGUUAUUUUGGAGGAGUGUUUUUGAGAGUCAAAUAAAAUCCAGAUUGCGUUUACGUAGCGCCUACUCCACGUGACUGGCGGUUUGGAAAAGUUGCUGUGAGGACCUGCUACUGCUCUUCCAUCGAGACAGCAGCUGUGGCGCGCUAGUAGUCCAGCACUGCGAGAGUUUGAGGCGCUCUGUCUUUCUUUGAAAUACGACUGUUGAACGAAAUUAGGCUACUUCUAAUGUCAAAAAAGGACAUGCUACCUUUUACUUUGAUUGGAUAAUAGGAACGACUUUGCAAGUGAAAGUUCAUGGACUCACGGUGAUAUCCUUUGAGGCUUUGACGCUUGAACCAGUCGCCUAAGAAGAAAGGAGAGCUGACGAACUCCUCUCCAUCUACCCUCUCUCUCUCUGCGACUCUCCCCCUCCCCCAAGAUGAGUGCCAAGUCAGCCAUCAACAAGGCGGUGUUCACGCCCCAUGAUGAGAAGAUGCUUGCAGCCGUGCAGGUGAAGAGGAGGACCAAGAAGAAGAUCCCCUUCCUGGCUACUGGAGGACAGGGAGACUACAUGACCUUCAUCUGCCUCUCAGUGACUAAUAAGAAGCCUUCCCAUGUGUCCAUCACCAAGGUGAAGCAGUUCCCAGGUUCAUCAUCCUUUGCCAAGAGGUCAAUGUGGACCAUCGACCAGCUGAGACAGGUCAACGGCUGUGACCCCAACAAAGACUGUCCAGAGUUUGACUUGGCAUUUGACAAUGCCUUUGACCAGUGGGUGGCUGGCUCGGCCGGCGAAAAGUGCACCUUUAUCCAGAUCCUCCACCACACCUGCCAGCGCUACAGCUCUCAGAGCAAGCCAGAAUUUGUCAACUGUCAGUCCAAACUGCUGGGAGGUAACAGUAUACUCCACUCUGCAGCAGACAGUGUGACCAGUGCUGUACAGAAGGCCAGCCAGGCUCUGAACGAGCGAGGGGAGCGGUUAAGCCGGGCGGAGGAGAAAACAGGGGAGAUGAAGAACAGUGCUGAGCAGUUCUCAGUCACCGCACACAAGGACUUCGUAACAAGGAAGAAGUUCUGUGUCAAGGUGACCUGGAGCAAGAAACCGCACUGCAGGUUCGGUUAGUCCGUCUCUGCAGUGUCUCCCACCUGCUUAGGCUCUGUGACAGUCCCAAUUGCAGCACUGUUGUGCUCUCACCAUCCCCACAGCACGGCUGUCUGUGCUGCAGCUCUGCUGCCCCCACCUGUUAGCUCUGGGGAUUUCAACCACCUCUAUUUUUAACUGUAGCUGGCCAUGAAGCACAAGUGUUAAACCAUUGCUAAGCCUUCGGGAGUAGGGGUCCGCCAAGAGCGCCAGACGCCAUUAAGGACGGAUUUCUGAUUUUAUUAUUCUUACAACUUUUAACAUGCUUACUCUUGUUAACAACGGUAACAUUUACAUUUUGUGUUGUUGUGUAGCUAGCUACCUUGUUUCUAAUGAAGAAUAUAUGAUGACGUUGAGGGGGGGGAGCUCAGACAGUUAAGAGCAAAAGUUUCACAGCUAACUCCUCUUUCACUGCCUCCAUUGCCCCCAAAGUACUCCAUGACUUUACGUAGGCAAACCAUGGAAAUGGUCACUGCCAUCCCCAACCUAGACAAACACACACACACACAUACAUUCCAGAUCCCCCCCCCAAAAGGAGCAACUCUUCAACUCCGCUGUCUCUCUCAAAGAAGUAACUUCAUAUAUAUACAGUGCUGAAAAAGGAGAAUUUAACAAGACAGAAGAGAUUGGAUGACGUGACACAUGAUGGCUAUUUCCUGUACUUGGAGACACCAAUGUACAUCCCUGUAUGUGAACAUUAACUUGUUAAAAAAUGUUAGAUCUCUUUUGCUAUUUGACUAUUUGGCAUCACACUGUUGUAAAGGCUCAUUGGUGCAUUCAUUCAUUGCAGACAUAAUACUAGCCAGAUGUGUGACGGACAUGUUGCUUCAAAAAACCUCCUGCUGGAAGACUAUAUUUCAACUAAGAUGGUAUGAAAUGUGCUGUUUUCCAACUAAAAAGUCUGAGUGACCAAGUGUUCAGGUGCAUGGUCUCUGUCAAAAGGUUGAAUGAACCCUACAGAGUAAAGACGAGCAUUUAGGCUUUACUUUUGGUAACAUUUCCAAAGGGUUAUUGAAGCAGUUGGUUGUAAGAACAAGAUCAGACUGUUUAUUGUAAGGUGAAAGACUAGAGUGCCAUUUGUAAAUUAGCUUCAACUGUUGUUAACAAGCUUAUAAACCUGUAAAUUCAUUCUACCACAAUCUCUGAAAAUAAUAUUUCCAUUCUAACUUGGUCACAUCUUGUAAUUCUUGUUUAAUUGGGGUUUAUGAAAUGUUUUCUGUAAAACAGCUGACUGACACGUCUUCACUAGCGGCAUUGUACGGUAUUGGUGUCCAUUCACUGACUGUGUAACCGUGGCUUCAUCACAAACAAGUAACCACCCACAGUGUGGGUAUGUUUAUUACUUUUAGAUUCUAUAUGUCUUGCUGUUACAGUGCACGGACAACCUUACCUUGCAGAGCACUGUUAAGUUCUUAAUGAAAUUCUCGUUGCCUCAACUUCUAGUCUGCUUUAGUCCUAACAUUUUGGAUAUUCAUUGUUUUUAAUAAAAAUAUGGAAACUAUGUAUAAUGGUUAUGAAAGUUUUUGGGGUUUUAGCUAGUGCAAGCCCCUUAGUUGGUCUCAGUGAAUACGUUAUUAUCCUUCACUUUUCAUAGGACCAGAUGAGGUCCCUAAACAAAGUGCAAUGGUUCUAUAUUGGUGCCUUUUUAAACGGUCUUUUAUUAGUUCUUCAACAGCAUGUGGUUUAACUUGAGCAGUCUGAUUGUGUUAUGACAACACUCGUGGUAACCCAGGCGAACAGUGCCUUGCCUUAUUGAUAACCAAAGGGAGAAAGUAAAGUAUGUUUUGUACCAGGUUUGAGAGAGGGUGUUGCUUAAGAUGUAUGGUGCUUGUUGGAAGUGAAUUGUAUGAGGAAUACAGAAGAAGAAAAGGCUGAAUAGGUGGUUAUUACAGAAUGAAUAGGUGGUUAUUACAGAACGAAUAGGUGGUUAUUACAGAACGAAUAGGUGGUUAUUACAGAAUGAAUAGGUGGUUAUUACAGAAUGAAUAGGUGGUUAUUACAGAAUGAAUAGGUGGUUAUUACAGAAUGAAUAGGUGGUUAUUACAGAAUGAAUAGGUGGUUAUUACAGAAUGAAUAGGUGGUUAUUACAGAAUGAAUAGGUGGUUAUUACAGAAUGAAUAGGUGGUUAUUACAGAAUGAAUAGGUGGUUAUUACAGAAUGAAUAGGUGGUUAUUACAGAAUGAAUAGGUGGUUAUUACAGAAUGAAUAGGUGGUUAUUAUAGAAUGAAUAGGUGGUUAUUAUAGAAUGAAUAGGUGGUUAUUACAGAAUGAAUAGGUGGUUAUUACAGAAUGAAUAGGUCGUUAUUACAGAAGGUCUCAAUACUAGUCAAAUCUAAUACAGACAAACACCAUUAUUUUCAAUUAAACAUAAAUGACCAAUAUGUUUUAGUUUGAAUGUAACAUAUUGAGUUAUUUCAAAACAUCCGUCUCGUUGUCUAUAUCAGAUUGCAUACCAUCUAAAUAAAUAGAAAUUGUCUCAAGUCUCUCUUUA